This 260-nucleotide ribosomal RNA is filed under the name Salmonella enterica. RNAcentral's name for it is "partial 23S ribosomal RNA". It matches the Rfam family "Bacterial large subunit ribosomal RNA", at positions 504 to 766 of the family's 2925-position model. The record is from RNAcentral. Lineage: Bacteria; Pseudomonadati; Pseudomonadota; Gammaproteobacteria; Enterobacterales; Enterobacteriaceae. RNAcentral also lists the same sequence under 42 other names.
UGAGGGAAAGGCGAAAAGAACCCCGGCGAGGGGAGUGAAAAAGAACCUGAAACCGUGUACGUACAAGCAGUGGGAGCACCCUUCGGGGUGUGACUGCGUACCUUUUGUAUAAUGGGUCAGCGACUUAUAUUCUGUAGCAAGGUUAACCGUAUAGGGGAGCCGGAGGGAAACCGAGUCUUAACCGGGCGUUAAGUUGCAGGGUAUAGACCCGAAACCCGGUGAUCUAGCCAUGGGCAGGUUGAAGGUUGGGUAACACUAAC